AUACCUUUCUCGGCCUUUUGGCUAAGAUCAAGUGUAGUAUUUGUUCUUAUUAGUUUAAUAUCUGAUAUGUGGGGUAAGUGUCCACUUUGAUAUUAAAUUUAUUUUUUUGGGGGGAGGGCCCACCACAGUGGCUAGCCACUGGGGUUUUGAGCGUCGCCCAGCCGUUGCACUAUUGGCAGGGUUUGGCGCACCCCAA
Molecule: small nuclear RNA, 196 nt
Organism: Panicum virgatum (switchgrass)
Lineage: Eukaryota; Viridiplantae; Streptophyta; Magnoliopsida; Poales; Poaceae
Product: U2 spliceosomal RNA
Exons: 1
Source: RefSeq, a predicted model, not a curated record